This 341-nucleotide ribosomal RNA is filed under the name uncultured bacterium. RNAcentral's name for it is "bacterial SSU rRNA". It matches the Rfam family "Bacterial small subunit ribosomal RNA", at positions 973 to 1319 of the family's 1533-position model. The record is from RNAcentral.
ACCAAGUCNUGACAUUGGAUGACUGGAAUUACCGUUCCCUGCCCUUCGGGGCAUCCAAGACAGGUGGUGCAUGGUUGUCGUCAGUCGUUUCGUGAGAUGUUGGGUUAAGUCCCGCAACGAGCGCAACCCAUCUCUUUAGUAGCCAGCAGUAAGAUGGGCACUUUAGGGAGACUGCCGGGGACAACCCGGAGGAAGGCGGGGACGACGUCAAAUCAUCAUGCCCCUUAUGAUUUGGGCUACACACGUGUACAAUGGCGUAGAACAAAGGGAAGCGAAGAGUGCUGAGACUGGAGCCAAUCCCAAAAAUCCGUCCCAGUUCUAGGACUCAGUGGNUCAAGUAC